RNAcentral lists this ribosomal RNA (1371 nucleotides) under uncultured bacterium. Its description in RNAcentral is "bacterial SSU rRNA". It matches the Rfam family "Bacterial small subunit ribosomal RNA", at positions 28 to 1381 of the family's 1533-position model. The record is from RNAcentral.
GAUGAACGCUGGCGGCGUGCCUAAUACAUGCAAGUCGAGCGAACGGACGAGAAGCUUGCUUUUCUGAUGUUAGCGGCGGACGGGUGAGUAACACGUGGAUAACCUACCUAUAAGACUGGGAUAACUUCGGGAAACCGGAGCUAAUACCGGAUAAUAUUUUGAACCGCAUGGUUCAAAAGUGAAAGACGGUCUUGCUGUCACUUAUAGAUGGAUCCGCGCUGCAUUAGCUAGUUGGUAAGGUAACGGCUUACCAAGGCAACGAUGCAUAGCCGACCUGAGAGGGUGAUCGGCCACACUGGAACUGAGACACGGUCCAGACUCCUACGGGAGGCAGCAGUAGGGAAUCUUCCGCAAUGGGCGAAAGCCUGACGGAGCAACGCCGCGUGAGUGAUGAAGGUCUUCGGAUCGUAAAACUCUGUUAUUAGGGAAGAACAUAUGUGUAAGUAACUGUGCACAUCUUGACGGUACCUAAUCAGAAAGCCACGGCUAACUACGUGCCAGCAGCCGCGGUAAUACGUAGGUGGCAAGCGUUAUCCGGAAUUAUUGGGCGUAAAGCGCGCGUAGGCGGUUUUUUAGUCUGAUGUGAAAGCCCACGGCUCAACCGUGGAGGGUCAUUGGAAACUGGAAAACUUGAGUGCAGAAGAGGAAAGUGGAAUUCCAUGUGUAGCGGUGAAAUGCGCAGAGAUGUGGAGGAACACCAGUGGCGGAGGCGACUUUCUGGUCUGUAACUGACGCUGAUGUGCGAAAGCGUGGGGAUCAAACAGGAUUAGAUACCCUGGUAGUCCACGCCGUAAACGAUGAGUGCUAAGUGUUAGGGGGUUUCCGCCCCUUAGUGCUGCAGCUAACGCAUUAAGCACUCCGCCUGGGGAGUACGACCGCAAGGUUGAAACUCAAAGGAAUUGACGGGGGCCCGCACAAGCGGUGGAGCAUGUGGUUUAAUUCGAAGCAACGCGAAGAACCUUACCAAAUCUUGACAUCCUUUGACAACUCUAGAGAUAGAGCCUUCCCCUUCGGGGGACAAAGUGACAGGUGGUGCAUGGUUGUCGUCAGCUCGUGUCGUGAGAUGUUGGGUUAAGUCCCGCAACGAGCGCAACCCUUAAGCUUAGUUGCCAUCAUUAAGUUGGGCACUCUAAGUUGACUGCCGGUGACAAACCGGAGGAAGGUGGGGAUGACGUCAAAUCAUCAUGCCCCUUAUGAUUUGGGCUACACACGUGCUACAAUGGACAAUACAAAGGGCAGCGAAACCGCGAGGUCAAGCAAAUCCCAUAAAGUUGUUCUCAGUUCGGAUUGUAGUCUGCAACUCGACUACAUGAAGCUGGAAUCGCUAGUAAUCGUAGAUCAGCAUGCUACGGUGAAUACGUUCCCGGGUCU